UACGGAGGUCCCGAGCGUUGUUCGGAAUUACUGGGCGUAAAGGGAGCGCAGGCGGACGGGUCAGUCUGAAGUGGAAAUCCGGGGCUUAACCUCGGACUUGCUUCGGAUACUGCCCGUCUUGAGUUCGUGAGAGGAAGAUGGAAUUCAGGGUGUAGCGGUGAAAUGCUCAGAUAUCCUGAGGAACACCAGUGGCGAAAGCGGUCUUCUGGCACGAAACUGACGCUGAGGCUCGAAAGCGUGGGUAGCAAACAGG
Molecule: ribosomal RNA, 253 nt
Filed under: uncultured prokaryote
Description: partial 16S ribosomal RNA
Rfam family: Bacterial small subunit ribosomal RNA
Source: RNAcentral